This 354-nucleotide unclassified non-coding RNA is filed under the name soil metagenome. RNAcentral describes it as "partial contains 5.8S ribosomal RNA, internal transcribed spacer 2, and large subunit ribosomal RNA". The stretch from base 1 to 120 matches the Rfam family "5.8S ribosomal RNA", at positions 35 to 154 of the family's 154-position model. The record is from RNAcentral.
GAUGAAGAACGCAGCGAAAUGCGAUAAGUAGUGUGAAUUGCAGAAUUCAGUGAAUCAUCGAAUCUUUGAACGCACAUUGCGCCUCCUGGUAUUCCGGGAGGCAUGCCUGUUCGAGCGUCAUUAAAAUCACUCAAGCUUAGGUUUACCUAUUGCUUGGUCUUGGAGAUGGAAGCCAAUUUAUUGGAAUCCUCUUCGAAAUUCAAUGGCGAAGACCCUUGCUCUCCCAAGUGUAGUAAUAACUUAUGUCACCGAAGGAAGCGAGAAAUCUUCUGCCGUAACCCCCAUAUUUUCUAUGAUUGACCUCGGAUCAGGUAGGGAUACCCGCUGAACUUAAGCAUAUCAAUAAGCGGAGGA